Molecule: transfer RNA, 90 nt
Filed under: Bdellovibrionales bacterium
Lineage: Bacteria; Pseudomonadati; Bdellovibrionota; Bdellovibrionia; Bdellovibrionales
Description: tRNA-Ser
Rfam family: tRNA
About the family: Transfer RNA (tRNA) molecules are approximately 80 nucleotides in length. Their secondary structure includes four short double-helical elements and three loops (D, anti-codon, and T loops).
Source: RNAcentral
GGAGUUGUGUCAGAGCGGUCGAAUGAGCACGCUUGGAAAGCGUGUAAUGGUGAAAGCCAUUCGAGAGUUCGAAUCUCUCCAACUCCGCCA